This 644-nucleotide long non-coding RNA is filed under the name Ananas comosus (pineapple). RNAcentral describes it as "long non-coding RNA (ACOM_LNC039242)". Lineage: Eukaryota; Viridiplantae; Streptophyta; Magnoliopsida; Poales; Bromeliaceae. The record is from RNAcentral.
AGUAUUCACAUAAAACAGAUGCAGAUCUUAAGAAGUAUCGAUUGUGGAUGUAAAAAGCAGUGAAAGAUCGGCGACGUCGAGGGAAGAAUGGGGACCUGAUGUAGAGAUCGGUGACGUCGAGGGAGAGCUGGGCGUGCUAGAGGGGAUUCUCGGCGAGCCACACGGCGCGGUCAUCGCGGCUCCGCCGGAACCCUAAAUGCCGUCGCCGAGAGCUUUCUCAGCCACUCCUCCGCCGUCGCCGAGAGCUCCUCCGCCGGAGACGACGACGCCGCCGCCGCUGCCGAUAGAGAGCCGACACAGCUUGGAUCGAGAGAGGAGCGGGAAGGGGGAGGGGGGAGGGGGAGCUUGGAUCCAAAGAGGAGCGGGGAGGGGGAGGGGGACGGCGACGGGGACUGGGACGGGGAGCUUGGAUCGAGAGAGGGCGCGGGUUGAGAGAGGGCGCGAGGUUGGGUUGGGUUAGGUUGAGGUUGGGUUAGGUUAGGUUGAGGUUGGGUUAGGUUGGGGUUGGAUUAGAAUUAUAUUUAAUAUAUAAAUAUUAGUGGGUUAAAACUAUAUAUUUGAAAAUAAUUGCCGCUAAAGGUGUAAUAAAAUAAUAGUAAUAGCGGCCGUUUGACAAUCGCUAUUGUUAAAUUGCCGCUAAAAGG